RNAcentral lists this ribosomal RNA (256 nucleotides) under uncultured bacterium. RNAcentral's name for it is "partial 16S ribosomal RNA". It matches the Rfam family "Bacterial small subunit ribosomal RNA", at positions 521 to 776 of the family's 1533-position model. The record is from RNAcentral. RNAcentral also lists the same sequence under 1 other name.
UAAUACGGAGGGUGCGAGCGUUAAUCGGAAUUACUGGGCGUAAAGGGUGCGUAGGUUGUUGUAUAAGUUAGUUGUGAAAUACCUGUGCUUAACAUGGGGGUGUCAACUAGUACUGUAUGACUUGAGUAAAGUAGAGGGUGGUAGAAUUUCCGGUGUAGCGGUGAAAUGCGUAGAGAUCGGAAGGAAUAUCGGUGGCGAAGGCGACCACCUGGGCUAUUACUGACACUGAGGCACGAAAGCGUGGGUAGCAAACAGG